GACGAACGCUGGCGGCGUGCUUAACACAUGCAGGUCGAACGGUAAGGCCCUUCGGGGUACACGAGUGGCGAACGGGUGAGUAACACGUGGGUGAUCUGCCCUGCACUUCGGGAUAAGCCUGGGAAACUGGGUCUAAUACCGGAUAGGACUCCUGGCUUCAUGGUUGGGGGUGGAAAGCUUUUGCGGUGUGGGAUGGGCCCGCGGCCUAUCAGCUUGUUGGUGGGGGAAUGGCCUACCAAGGCGACGACGGGUAGCCGGCCUGAGAGGGUGACCGGUCACACUGGGACUGAGAUACGGCCCAGACUCCUCCGGGAGGCAGCAGUGGGGAAUAUUGCACAAUGGGCGCAAGCCUGAUGCAGCGACGCCGCGUGAGGGAUGACGGCCUUCGGGUUGUAAACCUCUUUCAGCUAUGACGAAGCGCAAGUGACGGUAGUAGCAGAAGAAGGACCGGCUAACUACGUGCCAGCCGCCGCGGUAA
RNAcentral lists this ribosomal RNA (478 nucleotides) under uncultured bacterium. RNAcentral describes it as "partial 16S ribosomal RNA". It matches the Rfam family "Bacterial small subunit ribosomal RNA", at positions 28 to 523 of the family's 1533-position model. The record is from RNAcentral.